CCGGGGCAAUCGUGGGAGCAGCAUUGGGUGGUUGGAUUAAUGAUGCCUAUGGUCGAAAGAAGGCCACCCUCUUUGCCGAUGUUAUCUUUACCGCCGGAGCAAUAAUCAUGGCUUCUGCUCCAGAUCCUUAUGUUCUCAUUUUGGGACGCCUUCUGGUUGGUUUGGGUGUGGGCAUAGCUUCUGUCACUGCUCCCGUUUAUAUUGCAGAAGCAUCACCUUCCGAAAUAAGGGGUUCAUUAGUCAGCACAAAUGUCCUCAUGAUAACCGGUGGACAGUUUCUUUCCUAUCUUGUUAACCUCGCUUUUACUGGUGUUCCUGGUACUUGGCGAUGG
Molecule: long non-coding RNA, 332 nt
Filed under: Glycine max (soybean)
Lineage: Eukaryota; Viridiplantae; Streptophyta; Magnoliopsida; Fabales; Fabaceae
Description: long non-coding RNA (GMAX_LNC001881)
Source: RNAcentral